RNAcentral lists this unclassified non-coding RNA (343 nucleotides) under soil metagenome. RNAcentral describes it as "partial contains 5.8S ribosomal RNA, internal transcribed spacer 2, and large subunit ribosomal RNA". The stretch from base 1 to 120 matches the Rfam family "5.8S ribosomal RNA", at positions 35 to 154 of the family's 154-position model. The record is from RNAcentral.
GAUGAAGAACGUAGCGAAAUGCGAUAAGUAAUGUGAAUUGCAGAAUUCAGUGAAUCUUCGAAUCUUUGAACGCACAUUGCGCCCGCUAGUAUUCUGGCGGGCAUGCCUGUCCGAGCGUCAUUUCAACCCUCAAGCCCCCGGGCUUGGUGUUGGGGAUCGGCGAGCCUCCGCGCCCGCCGUCCCCUAAAUCUAGUGGCGGUCUCGCUGUAGCUUCCUCUGCGUAGUAGCACACCUCGCACUGGGAAACAGCGCGGCCACGCCGUUAAACCCCCAACUUCUGAACGUUUGACCUCGGAUCAGGUAGGAAUACCCGCUGAACUUAAGCAUAUCAAUAAGCGGAGGA